Parambassis ranga (Indian glassy fish) is the source of this 1038-nucleotide long non-coding RNA. NCBI's taxonomy places the organism in Eukaryota, Metazoa, Chordata, Actinopteri, Ambassidae. The record is from Ensembl.
UUAAUUUACACAUGCAUGGUUAUGAAUUUGAUAUAUAAUAAUGUAUAAGAUGUGUUUUCUACAUUAAAUACACAUAAACCAGGUGUCCAGCCAUGAAUGCUACAGCCAGCGUGGAGGCCACCAUGAUGUUCUGGGAUGACUCCCAUGAGGUGAUAAUGCUGUACAACACCAGCUGCCUGGCCUCACUGCUUCUGAACUGAAGCCCCUGGAGGACUGCUUGUCUGAUGGCCGCAUGAGCAACAUAAAGCCAGGGCGGGCAGAAAUACUUUUUCCUAAGUUUCAACUUAGGAAAUCCUGCAGUUUAGAAAGCCUCCUGAGGAAGGCUGGGGUAUAUGAUCCAUUUUCUCACAAUCAGCCAACUCAUAAAGGCGCCUCAUACGUUUGUGCUGGAGGUGGAAAAGUUCAAGUCAGAGGAAGGACAGACCGUGUGCUCAUCUCUGUGAUGAAUUAACAGGCCUCGUCCUGCUAAUUGAGAGAAUGAAUUGAUCCCACCGAUGUCCAGAGGUACAGUGAGCGUUGCACUCAUAUAAUACUACAUCUACUUAUAAAACUCUAUAGCUUUAGUUUGAAUACGUCCCAGUGGUCCAGCACAUUUUGCAAAAAAAAAUCCAUUUUCAGCAAUUUCCAUGAAGUCAGAGAAGGUGUUUUGUUUUUCAAACAUUACCAGAUGAUAUAUAGUUUAUUUCUCAUUUUCACAAAAUGAUGAAAAGACAUUUAAAUGGCAGCAAUUUAUCCUUGUGACUGAGUCUAUGUCUAUGCUUGCAAAAACAUAAAGCACUUUUCUUCCAUUACAAAAGCAUUUUCUCUUUCUUUUUCACUCUGAAACCCAUUUCCUCUUGUAACAUCUCUUUAUCAUCUUAUGCAAUUAUUGGAAAUUGCUUUGCAAGAGCAUCUGGGCUUAUAUAGCAACAACAGAAAGAAAAUGCCCAGUUACAUUUUCACUCUGGGAUUUAGUGGCUCUGGGACAUUAGCUCAUUUCUACCUUUAGUCAGACAACCUUGUUGGAGAUGCUGUGAUGGUAUUUAGCUCAUUGGGGAG